This 492-nucleotide ribosomal RNA is filed under the name uncultured bacterium. Its description in RNAcentral is "partial 16S ribosomal RNA". It matches the Rfam family "Bacterial small subunit ribosomal RNA", at positions 28 to 507 of the family's 1533-position model. The record is from RNAcentral.
GAUGAACGCUAGCUACAGGCUUAACACAUGCAAGUCGAGGGGAAACGACAUCGAAAGCUUGCUUUUGAUGGGCGUCGACCGGCGCACGGGUGAGUAACGCGUAUCCAACCUGCCCAUCACUUGGGAAUAACCUUGCGAAAGUAAGACUAAUACCCAAUGAUAUCCCACGAAGGCAUCGGAAUGGGAUUAAAGAUUUAUCGGUGAUGGAUGGGGAUGCGUCUGAUUAGCUUGUUGGCGGGGUAACGGCCCACCAAGGCAACGAUCAGUAGGGGUUCUGAGAGGAAGGUCCCCCACAUUGGAACUGAGACACGGUCCAAACUCCUACGGGAGGCAGCAGUGAGGAAUAUUGGUCAAUGGGCGAGAGCCUGAACCAGCCAAGUAGCGUGCAGGAAGACGGCCCUAGGGGUUGUAAACUGCUUUUAUAAGGGAAUAAAGUGGGUCACGUGUGACUUUUUGCAUGUACCUUAUGAAUAAGGACCGGCUAAGUCCGUG